Molecule: ribosomal RNA, 301 nt
Filed under: uncultured bacterium
Lineage: Bacteria
Description: partial 16S ribosomal RNA
Rfam family: Bacterial small subunit ribosomal RNA
Source: RNAcentral
CAGUAGCCGCGGUAAUACGAAGGGUGCAAGCGUUAAUCGGAAUUACUGGGCGUAAAGCGUGCGUAGGCGGUGAGUUAAGUCUGCUGUGAAAUCCCCGGGCUCAACCUGGGAAUGGCAGUGGAUACUGGCUCGCUAGAGUGUGUCAGAGGAUGGUGGAAUUCCCGGUGUAGCGGUGAAAUGCGUAGAGAUCGGGAGGAACAUCAGUGGCGAAGGCGGCCAUCUGGGACAACACUGACGCUGAGGCACGAAAGCGUGGGGAGCAAACAGGAUUAGAUACCCCGGUAGUCCCUGUCUCUUAUAU